UACAGAGGGUGCGAGCGUUGUCCGGAAUCACUGGGCGUAAAGGGCGCGUAGGUGGUGGCUUAAGCGUGCGGUGAAAGCUCGGGGCUCAACUCCGAGUCGGCCGUGCGAACUGGGCUCACUGGAGCAUAGUAGAGGCAGGUGGAAUUCCGGGUGUAGCGGUGGAAUGCGUAGAGAUCCGGAAGAACACCAGUGGCGAAGGCGGCCCGCUGGGCAGUGGCUGACGCUGAGACGCGAAAGCGUGGGGAGCAAACAGG
This 254-nucleotide ribosomal RNA is filed under the name uncultured bacterium. RNAcentral describes it as "partial 16S ribosomal RNA". It matches the Rfam family "Bacterial small subunit ribosomal RNA", at positions 524 to 776 of the family's 1533-position model. The record is from RNAcentral.